AACGAACGCUGGCGGCAGGCCUAACACAUGCAAGUCGAGCGAAGCCUUCGGGCUUAGCGGCGGACGGGUGAGUAACGCGUGGGAACGUGCCCUUUGGUACGGAAUAGCCCCGGGAAACUGGGAGUAAUACCGUAUGUGGUCGAGAGACGAAAGAUUUAUCGCCAAAGGAUCGGCCCGCGUUGGAUUAGGUAGUUGGUGGGGUAAUGGCCUACCAAGCCGACGAUCCAUAGCUGGUUUGAGAGGAUGAUCAGCCACACUGGGACUGAGACACGGCCCAGACGCCAACGGGAGGCAGCAGUGGGGAAUCUUAGACAAUGGGGGAAACCAUGAUCUAGCCAUGCCGCGUGAUCGAUGAAGGCCUUAGGGUUGUAAAGAUCUUUCAGUGGGGAAGAUAAUGACUGUACCCACAGAAGAAGCCCCGGCUAACUCCGUGCCAGCAGCCGCCGUAA
This 449-nucleotide ribosomal RNA is filed under the name uncultured bacterium. RNAcentral describes it as "partial 16S ribosomal RNA". It matches the Rfam family "Bacterial small subunit ribosomal RNA", at positions 29 to 523 of the family's 1533-position model. The record is from RNAcentral.